Molecule: long non-coding RNA, 18099 nt
Filed under: Lynx pardinus (Iberian lynx)
Lineage: Eukaryota; Metazoa; Chordata; Mammalia; Carnivora; Felidae
Rfam family: tRNA (bases 15245-15329)
Source: RNAcentral
GACAUUGGCCAACAUCUGUGGGACUAUAUUUGUGGUAUAACAGAGAUCCAAGAUGGCUAAAUUCCUAAGGAAGAAGUACAUGGGGGUCUGGAGACGUUCAUCCAAUAACGGCAGCAGGAUGAUGGCCAUGUUUCCCAUCAAGGCAAUGGUGUAGAAGAGAAAGACAACCCCAGAGAUGAUCAUCUCCAGCUGUGGCUGCCCUGGGAAUCCAAGGAGUAUAAAUCCACCAAAAUGGCUAUUGUUGACCAUUUUCCUAUUUCUUGAUAUCAGCUGUGACAUAUUGGAAGCGAGUGUGUUUAUGAACAAUAUUAGUGGAAUUAUAGCUGGCAAGAAACGUAUCAUAUAAUCAAAUAACACAUCAGUAUUUACAUCUCAUUGAGUAUUUGUUCUGUUUAUCCAAUUACGUCUAGAAUUUAUCCCAGGGCGACCUGUCUACUAGAUCCAUACUCUCAGUUUUCUGUCGGCUUCUAUGCCAUGGCUAAAACCUGCAAAAUCUCAUAGGAAAAGCCUGAUGAAAGGCUGAUGAAAUCCAGUGGACUUCUCUUUAUUAAUCGGGGUGCUGGGAAGGGGGUUUGGAAUCUGUGAUCACUCAUUGUCUCUUUCAUUCAAGGGUUCAUAGAAAACACAGGUUUCAUACCUCUAAUACCCCCUUUUCUAAUACUUAAACUGCAUGGGCUCAGUUUGGGUCUCCAUUUUCACUCUGCUAUGUAAAUUUUCUGACUUUAUAUCUUAAACUUUCUUAAGUUUAUGUAUUUAUUUUUGAGAGACAGAGACAGCAUGAGCAGGGGAGGGGCAGAGAGAGAGGGAGAGAGAAAGAAUCCCAGGCAGGCUCCAUGGUGUCAGCACAGAGCUCUAAGCAGGGCUUGAGCACAAAACCAUGAGAUCAUGACGUGAGCCAAAACCAAGAGUUGGACAGUUAACUGACUGAGCCACCCAGGUGACCAACUGACUUUAGAUUUUAAAGUCAAACUUUUUUCUUUCAUCUCAAAACUUGGGUUUCCAAAUGCUAUUUGCCCUUCCCCACAUGGUCCCAGAACAGCAUUCCUCCCACUUUCCCUUCAGAUGCCAUUUUUCAUCUGAACUUUGUAUCCACCAUCCACUACUUCCUGUUUCCAUCUCUUCAUUUUACAUUCAAUCUCUGAUAUUCAUUUGUGUCCUUCCUCUCAUCCUACAAGAACUUCCAUUCUAUGACUCAUACAUAUGAAAUGUUAAAACACCUCAGGAGGGGGAGCUGUGUUAUUUUUGUGUUCAUAUUUCAUGACUCCCCUCAGGAUCGGCACAGAGAAAACAUCCAUGAAUAUGUGAGAUUUGUUAAAAGAAACUUUGCUGAUCACAUCUGACUCUUUCCUUUCAUACCUAAAAAAAAGUGGUGUCUUUGUAAAAACUCAAGCAGGAACUGUGGAAAACUAUAUAGGUUCCUCAAAAAAAAAUUGAAAUUAAAAUUAGCAUACAAUACAUUAAUGUCUCUACUGAGCUAUUCAAUGAAAAUGAACUCACUAACUAAAAGGGAUACAUGAACCCACAUGUUUAUUGCAGUAUUAUUUACAAUAGCCGAGAUAUGGAAGCAACCUGUGACCAUUGACUGAUGGAUGGAGAAAUGGUAUGUGUGUAUAUAUACAUACACAUACAUAUAUAUAUACACAUACACAUAUAAAUAGUACUCAGCGAUCAAAAAGAACAAAAUCUGGUCAUUUGCAAAGAGGUAGAUGGAGCUAGAGUUUAUAUCCUAAACAAAAUAAGCCAGUGAAAGAAAAACACCACAUGAUUUCACACAUAUGUGAAAUUUAAGAAACAAAACAAAUGAACAAAGAAAAAAGGAAACAAAAACCAAGACUUUUAACUAUAGAAAACAAACUGCUGAUCAACAGAGGGGAGAUGGGGGGUGGAGGAGAUAGGUGAAAUAGGUGAUGGAGAUUAAGAGUGUACUUAUUGUGAUGAACCUGGAGAAAGAUAGAAAAUUACUGAAUCAUUAUAUUGUACACCUGAACUAGUAUAAAACUGUGAAUUAAUUAUACUUUACCAAAGAAAAAAAAAAGGCUCAACCCAAAUAUUCAACUAAAACAGGUCUCUCCUGAGGUGGGUGGGAGGCUGGAGGAACAGAUGAUGGAUGGGUAUUAGGGAGGGCACUUGUGAUGAGCACUGGGUGCUGUAUAGGUUGAAUCACUAAAUUGUAGACCUGAAACAAAUACUGCAUGUAGGUUAACUGGAAUUUAAAUAAAAUCUUAAUAAUAAAAAUAAAAAAAAUAAACAAUGUCUCUCAUGCACAGAAAUGAAUUCCUAGCUUCCAAACCAGUGGUCUUUUCCACGUUAUUUUUCUACCUGAAUUCUCAGUGGCAGGUUAGUGCCCCCAUGUCAGCAUUGCCCUUUGCCUUCCCAAAGACACCACCUAGCUGCCCUCCUGACCCCCCCACCCAGGGGACCCUCCUUGCUAGCUCUGUCCCCAGAGUGUUCUAACGGGCUCUCCUUUCUCCCCUUCCUCCUGUGUCACAAGGCUUCCCUUACCAAUUUUUCAUAGAAAACUAACAGCCUAGGUCUUCUGGCCCUCUCAUCCUUUGCGCCUCAGAUUUAAAAUUUUAGCUAAUUUUUCGGAAUUUGUACUGACUUUGAUAACAGUAACUUCCCAUACCACAUGUACACAAAAUUGAAUUUAUUACGUUACCUCGUAAAACAAACGUUAGCUCUUUCUUUCACAGACAUGAACUUUUUAUGUAUAUAGCGGUGUUAUAAACUACUUCCUAGGGUCUUAAAAAUGUUUGUUAAAAUGAAUUUAUGAACUCUGGGCACAGAAAUUAAAAACACAAAUAUUCAUUUUUCAUUUCUAGUGUACAUUUCAUGACAUGUGAUUAAACAUAUGUCUUGGACUUUGAAGGACAGAAAAUUCAUAUAAAAGCCAGAAGCUUCUUUUGUACAUUUCUUUGAGAAUUUUGUAAACUAAUUUAAAUACAACAUGAUUUUUAAAGUAGGGAAUGUUUCUUUCUCUCUUCACCUAAAUAACACUGAGAAUGUUUCUGAUAACAUUCACCUAAAUAACACUGAGAAUUCUUUACUUACAAGAGUCCUCCCACUUGCCAUGGGGAUCAUUCAGGAGACACUCCUGUUCCUGUCCAAGGAGAAUCAUCCUAUUUAUAUGACUGGGAAGAGAAACCUGCAGUGUGAAAGAUGACAGGUCAUUUCCCCAAACAGCAAUGAUGAAAUGUGUUGAGUCUGGGAAGACCUUAGGGAUGCUGGGUUAUCUCAUUAGCAAUUAAGGUAUAUUGUACAUUACCCAGGGAAAAUCAUUUUUAAAAAACCCCAGGAGUUUCCAUAGUUAACUGACUCAUUUUCAACUCUGCAUGGAAAUUACGACCAUCAUUUAUUUGAAGUAAUAUUAAUAUAAGACCAAAUGAAUAACUAUGCUUUGCAAUUCAAAAUACAUUUCUGUGUCUGGUUUCAUCAAUGAAACACUUCUACUGAUGGUGUUAGUACUGCAGUUUCUGUGCAAGAAAUUCAUGUGUCCAGAACUUACAGAUUGUCACAAGGCAACAUAGGCAAUGAUGAGACAUUUAACCCACAUAUAAUCAUGAUUGUAAGUUUUAUUUUUUCUGUCACAUUUGCUUUUGUUUAACUUAAACUUUCAAAUAUAUUUCAAUAACAAUGAAAUUUGUGACUUCUACAAAGAAGGGCGCCUUUAGCAAUAGUGCCCCUGACAGUUUGUCCUGGAGUCACAACCAUGGAUGGAAGAGGUGAGAGGUUAUGGUGGUGAUUAUUUGAUAGAGUUAUGUUAUGCCUGAAAGCCAUAAUUUGUUAUUUAAACUUUGGCUUGUUAUUCCCAUUGAGGACACACUGGCCAAUUAACACUCCCUGGAAACUGACAUUUUAUAGAUACGUGAUCCCGCAAAAUUUCAGCAGUUUUUAUUGUUGAAUAGCUUGGUAAUAGGAUCAGAGAGUGUAAGUCUUGUCAAUGACCCUAGAGAUUAUUUAUAAGGAUAGGCCAAAACUCUAGCAUUAGUGUUGUGAGAAUCAUUACUUCCUCUCCUCCUCUGAGAAAUCACCUCAAAACAAUAAGGAUGAUAAUAAAGGGGAAAUGCAGCUUUAUUUAAGCAGCUGAGCUCUGAAACAUGGAUCCUAAAAUAGAAAACUAUUCCAGGGUUAGUGAAGGUCAGACAGUGGAAUAUGCAGAAGAAAGGAUGCCUCCUACUUUGAGAAGCUGAAGGAGGUAAGCUAAGGGGCCUCCUGAACACAGAGCAGGAUGGAGCAUAUCAGGGGAUGGUUCUUAUAUCCAUCUGGACUUCUGGAAGAACCACACAGGACACCACUGAGACAGACCUUCUGAAGAAUAUUUUCUCUUGUCAUGUAUGUGGUGAGGAGAGGGACUGUGAACAGACUGUGAGCAGGAAUUGUGAGUUCACAUCACAACACGAUAGCCUAAAAUCUCCCUUAUGUGUGUGACCCUGGGUCUGAAGGAACAUUCUCAAGCUCAAAGCAUAGACUUUGCUCCUUCCCAACACAAAUAUUCUGAAAUGGGUGGUCCAGGAAAGAAAUUUCAGGUUGAAUGUAGUAAUAAGAAAUAAGAAAUGAGUUCCAUAUUUCUAAAAUAAUAAUAAUAAUAAUAAUAAUAAUAAUACCCAAUGGGCAUGAAAGGGUCAGGAGAGAAGCAAAUAGCAGAUGAGGAGGGGCACUCACCUCACUCUAUUUUUUUUAAUGUUUAUUUAUUUUUGAAAGAGACCAUGAAUAGGGGAGGGGCAGAGAGACAGGAUGACACAGAAUCCAAAGCAGGCUCCAGGCUCUGAGCUGUCAGCACAGAGCCCGACGCAGUGCUCGAACCCACGAACUGCGAGAUCCUGACCUGAGCUGAAAUCGGACACUUAACCAAUUGAGCCACCUAGGUCCCAUCACUUCAUUCCUUAAGUGUUACACACGGAAGAUGAAGUUACAGGAUCACAUUUCAUUUAAAAAGAAAAACAUCAGGAAACAAUUAGCUCUGUGGAACUAGAAGACAGCUCAGAAAUAUAAGAACUCAUAAAAUACAUGGUGUAAGAGAUGAGCAGUAAUGGAGUUUAGCUGAGGGAACACAAAUGGGGAAGAAAACAACAGAAAUGAAAUAAAAUUUUGAAACACAGAAUACAGACUUGGCUGAAUAAAUCUUACAGGAAAAUGAGGUCAAGAUUAAGAAGCUGAAUAAAAUUAAAAUGAACAAGAUGUUCAAAAUAUUAGCAAGAAAAAUAUGGUUAUUAAAGUUUACCGAGGAUAUUAUGUAUAUGUUCAAUUGGAAUUCAUGUAUAAAUAUCACUAAAACAGCAAAGCAAAGGAAAGAUGUGUCUAGAAACUAAAAAAAGAUCAGUGUUUUGAAAUUACUCAAAUUCAAUGAACUAUUAGUUGAUUAGGGAAAAUUACCAGCCAUCUACAAAAGAGAUCCUAUGGUAUGUGGCAAGGAAAACAUAUCACGACCAAGUUGUACUUAUUCCAGGAAAGCAAGGAAGCACUUGAUGUUUAAAAUCAGGUAAUAUGAUUCACCACAUAAGUGAAUAAAAUCAGAUAAAAAAUCAUAUAGAAGAUGGGGUGCCUAGGUGGCUCAGUUAGUUUGGCAUCCAACUUUGGCUCAGGUCCCAAUCUCACGGUUUGUGAGUUCAAGCCCCGUGUCGGGCUCUGUGCUGACAGCUCAGAGCCUGGAGCCUGCUUUGGAUUCUGUGUCUCCCUCUCUCUAUUCCUCCCCUGCUCCCACUCUGUCUCUCUCUCUCAAAAAAAUAAAAAUAAAAGUUAAAAAAAAUCUUUUAAUCAUAUAGAAGAAAAUAUGAUAAAAUUCAGCACCUUAUAAAAAUCUAUUUUUUAUAUUACUCAGCAAUCAAAAAGAGUGAAAUCUUGCCAUUUGCAACAAUGUGAAUGGAACUGGAGGGUAUUAUGCUAAGCGAAAUAAGUCAGAGAAAGACAAAUAUCUUAUGAUUUCACUCAUGUGGAAUUUAAGAAACACAACAGAUGAACAUGGGGGGAAGGGAUGGAAAAAUGUGUUAAAAACAGAGGGAAACAAACCAUAAGAAACUUAAAUACAGAGAACAAAGAGGGUUGCCGGAGGGGUGUUGGGUGGGAGUAUGGGCUAAAUGGGCGAAGGACAAUAAGGAGGGCACUUGUUGUGAUGAGUACUAGGUGUGUAUGUAAGUGAUGAAUCGCUGAGUUCUACUCCUGAAAUAAAUACUAUACUGUAUGUUAACUAACUUGAAUUUAAAUAAAUAAUUAAAAAUCUUUUUAAAAAAAGAAAACAGGGCCACCUGGGUGGCUCAGUAGGUUGAGCGUCCGACUUCGGCUCAGGUCACAAUCUCACGGUUUUUGAGUUCAAGCCCCACGUCUGGCUCUGUGCUGACAGCUUAGAGCCUGGAGCCCGCUUCUGCUUCUGUGUCUCCCUCUCUCUCUGCCCCUAACCCACUCGCAUUCUGUCUUUGUCUCUCUCAGAAAUAAACAUUAAAAGAAAUUAAAAAAAAAAAAAAAGAAAACAGUCUUUAACACAAACCUGUAGCAAAUCAUUAAACUCAGAGGUGAAAUAGGGGAUGCCGUCCUCCCUGUCAGUGAACAGGACAGUUUCUGGCACUUCCAGCCAAAAUUCUACUGGGAACCCAGCCAGUACAGUAAGAGAAAAGAAAACUAAAAAGGGGGAGCAGAGCACCUGAGUGGCUCAGUCAGUUGAGUGUCCGGCUUCGGCUCAGGUCACGAUCUCUCACCAUUUGUGGGUUCGAGCCCCGCGUGGGGCUCUGUGCUGACAGCUCAGAGCCUGGAGCCUGUUUCAGAUUUUGUCUCCAUCUCUCUCUGCCCCUUCCCCACUUGUGCUCUGUCUCUAUCAAAAAUAAAUAAAUGUAAUAAAAAAAUUUGAAAAAAAAAAGAAAACUAAAAAGGAAGUUUCAGAAAGGAAGAAAUAAUUUGUCAUUAUUUGCAGAUUGUGUGAUAAAAUACACAAAAAUCUCUAAAAGGAUAUACAAAUAAAUUAGAAUUAAUAAUUUGGCUAGCAAAUUCAUUGGAUACCAGGUCAAUAUACUAAAAAAAACCCCACAAAACAUAUUUUUAUACAGUGGCAACAAUCAACUAAAAAUUUUUUUAAACAAAUACCAUUUACUACCAUUUACAACAGGAUCAGAAACAUUCAAUGACUAGCAAUAAAUCUUUGUAAAAUGCAUGCAGGGGCCCCCCAGAAAAACUGCACACAUUAAUGAGAUAGAAGGAGGGGACGUCAUGGUCAUGGGCCAGAGGACCCUGCACUGAAAGAUCACAGUGUCAAUCUUGAGUUCUUUUAGAUUAUAGAAAAUGAGGCAACUCCACUCACUUCAUGAAUCUAACAUAACUUAGAUACUAAAACCAGAAAAGAACUUUACAGAAAUGGAAAAUUACAGGUCUAUAGCACUUAUGAGUUUUGGUAAAAAAAAAAAACAAAAACAAAACUGUCAACAAAAGUAACAAACUGAAUGUAUAAACUAAGAUAAUAAUUCUGGUCCAAGUUAGGCCUACUCUGUGAAGGUAAAGUUUGUAUAACCAUAGAAAUCAUCAAUAAAUAUUAAUUUACAACAUAAUAAAGCAAAGCCGAAAAAAAUCACAUGGUCUUCACAACAGACACAGAAAAAUACUUCAUAAAAUUUCGUAUUUAUUUAUGACAAAAAUAAAAUAAUCUUAGAAUGUAAGGAGUGUAAAAAAAUAACAGCUGAUAAAAAGUGGCAAGAUAAAACACAUCACAUUUAUUAUAUAGUAACAGUGAAAUAAUCAAAACUCUCCCUUUGAUAUUAGGAACUACAUAAGCAAUGUCACACAUACUACGUUCAUCAUCGGCAGGGCAGGCUAGUACUAUAAAUUGAGUAGAAAAAUUAAAAUCACAUAACUCGAAAAGGUACAAGUAAAACUUCACAUAAUAUUGAUGAAUAUUGGUGUAUAUAUGGUCACUUUUUUUUUUAAUUUUUUUUUUGACGUUUAUUUAUUUUUGAGACAGAGAGAGACAGAGCAUGAACGGGGGAGGGCCAGAGAGAGGGAGACACAGAAUCUGAAACAGGCUCCAGGCUCUGAGCUGUCAGCACAGAGCCUGACGCGGGGCUCAAACUCACGGACCGCGAGAUCAUGACCUGAGCCGAAGUCGGCCGCUUAACCGACUGAGCCACCCAGGCGCCCCUAUACGGUCACUUUUUACACAUAAUAAUGGUGUAUAUGUGGACAGUCUAAAAUAAUCUCUGGAUAAAUUAGGAGCCUCAGUAAGUAUGUUGGGUAAAAUGUGAAUACAGGGUCAAUAUUGAAAUCAAUUUUGCUUGAACAGCCAUUGUUAAAAAACAAAAUUAAAAAUGUUAAAGAUACAACCUGCAACAGAAUAAAAACGCAUCAAAUAUCUAGGAAAAAAUUCAUAAAAAGAGCUUUGGAAUGUAUAUAUGUGGAUAUUAAUACAUAUGUAAUUAUAGGUUAUUAAAAACUACAACCUUUAUGAACAGGAGAGAUAAAUUAUUACUUUCUAUUCAGAAUAUCAGAGUUGUGGAAAUAAAUGAAGUACUGAAAUGCUUAGAAAUGCAUAAAUCAUGAAAAUGUGAUGUUAUUCAUAUGAAGGAAGUCAGGCACAACAGAAUUCAUUUACACAAAAAAUUUUAAAUAUCCAAGUUAUACCAUAUUCCUGGGAGAUGCAUACCUAGGUAAAUCAUCCAUAAAACAAAGGAAGACAUUGGAGUCCACACAUUGAGAAUCAUGGUUCUUCCAGGGGAGGAGGGCAGGAUUAUAGGCAGGUAUUAGACAUGGAAUGAAUUGUUAUAGCCAUCUUUUUUAACCUCUUUGGUGUGAAUGGGAUUUUGUGACAGAUGUGAGGACCCUGACAUGAUCGGAAAUGGAGCCAGAGGAAGUGAUACUGGAUACUGAACCAGAAAUAAAGAGGAAGUCAUCAAAAAGUCUUAGCCUCAAGCUUCAGUCUGAUAAUACAGCUCUCAACGGCCUCUACAUAUCAAUAUUUAUCUUUCUUCUUAAAUAUGGAAAGGAUUACAGUUUGACCAAAAUGAUGGAGAAAUAACUAAAAAACAAACAACAUUGUAGCGAAAGGCAAAUAUGAGAGGUCACUUCAGUGGCCAUGAAUCACCUUCCCAUGUGCUAGUUUUUCCCCAAGUUGAGAAAAGAGUAUUUCUACUCUGCACACAGAGUAGGGAGUUAGUACAGUUCAAACAGGUGCUGUGGUAAGAUCUCCAUGCUGGCCCUAAAAAUAAUCAGUAAAAAAGACCAAGUGGGAAAGAGAAAAGUAAUAUCUUAACAACAGUCACUGGAAUGUGAUAUAACAUGUUUUUCUUUUUGUGCUCAAAGAAUUGGGUUGUUUGUUGAGUAAUUCUAUAGACAGAGGAAGAUGUCAGAGGAAAGACAUUUUCGGUGUAAUUAGCAUCACCUCACUUUUAAGAUAAGUGGUAGCUGGAACUCAUGGUCUUCUUGGUUUAUUAGUGGUCUCACAGUUGUCCUCACACUGGAGAUCACCCUAUGUGGAGAUAUUCCUAGAAUGCUGGAGGCGAAGACAUCCCAAACAUGGGGUGUGACGAGAACAGCUUUUAGCCCCCUUGACAUCCUGACAAUAUUUACUUAGCAUAAUGAAGGGAGAAGAUUAGAGUUAAAUUGAUGAAUGUCAAUAUAAUUGGGACAUGUGUCCUCUGAAAGAAUCAGUGCAUAAUUUAAGCAAUCUCUAGUGUUGGCAUCUCAGUUUAAGAAUUUAUUUUAAAUAUGGACUUUGGGGGCAACUGGGUGACUCAGUCAGUGAAGCAACGUACUCUGGAUUUCAGGUUGGGUCAUGAUCCCAGGGUCAUGAGAUUGAGCCCUGUAUCAGGCUCAGUGCUAACAGUGCAGAUCCUGCUUGGGAGUCUCUUUCUCUCUCCCUCUCUCUGCCCCUACCCUGCUCAUGCCUGUGCACAUGCACACUCACUCUCUCUCAAAAUAAACAUUUUAACAUAAAUAAAUAUGGAUUUCUGUACAUUGGAUUUUAUCAUAAUUAUUAUCGUAUGUAUUUAGAGUACCCUCUGUCUCUCAGCUGAUGACUACAAAAUAUCUUGUCUACAUUUAAUGGAUGUCAGGUGAACAUUUCCAUAUUGGAAAUUGCUGGGAGUAAGAAUCAUUGUCCUGUUGUUUCCAAGGAACGUUUUUCUUUUCCAAUCAGUCUCUUCAUGGCCCCCUUGAACUCCUUAUUCCUUAGUGUGUAGAUCAGGGGGUUCAAGCUGGGAGUCACAAUGGAAUAAAAGAUACUGAGAAGUUUACCUUCAUCCUGAGAUGGACUGUUUCCUGGCUGGAUGUACAUGUAGAUAACAGUCCCAUAGAAGAUGGACACCACAAUGAGGUGGGAGGAACAGGUCCCAAAUGCUUUCUGUCUCCCUGUUGCAGAUUUGAUCUUCAACACAGCUACAGCAAUGAAGCCAUAAGAAACCAGAAUGAGAAGGAGUGGUGUGAGGAAAAUAAAAAAACAUAAUGCAAAUAAGGUUUCCUCCAUGGCUGUGGUGUCCACACACGCAAUCUUCACCAUUGCAGAUAUUUCACAAAAAUAGUGAUCCAAAUGGUGGUUCCCACAUCGGGGAAGACUCAUGGCAUAGGGUGAAAGUAUCAUGCAAUUAGUAACACCAACUCCCCAGGUCAUGGCCACCAGGGUUCGACAGAGUUGGGGGUUCAUAAUGGUCAUGUAGUGCAGAGGUUUGCAGACAGCAUUGAAUCGGUCAUAAGACAUCACAGCCAGAAGGAUACAUUCCACUGAGCACAGUACCAUAUCAAUGAAAAGUUGAAGGACACAGCCACCAAACGUAAUUCUCUUGUCUUUGCCCCAGAUAUUGGCCAACAUCUGUGGGACUAUAUUUGUGGUAUAACAGAGAUCCAAGAUGGCCAAAUUCCUAAGGAAGAAGUACAUGGGGGUCUGGAGAUGGUCAUCUAGGAAAGAAAGCAGGACGAUGGCCAUAUUUCCCAUCAAGGCAAUGGUGUAGAAGAGAAACACAACCCCAGAGAUGAUCAUCUCCAGCUGUGGCUGCCCCUGGAAUCCAAGGAGUGUAAAUCCACCAAAGUGGCUGUCAUUGACCAUUGUUUUCUUUUUUGUCAAUAGCAAUUCUAAAGAUGGAAUAAUCAAUAAUGAGUAUAUUCAAAACCCUUAUAGCCAGAUUCAAAUCAGGCAUUACAUUGAUGAUAUGGAUAAAAGUUUUAUUAUAAAACAUAUCAUUUUCAUUGCUCCAGAUAAUGUAAAUUUUUAUUGGUUCAGAUAAUGUAAAUGUUAAGCUCUGAUGGACAAUUGUAAUGGGCUAUUGUAUAGUUUUCUUUUUUGAACAUCAAACAAAAUGUCCAAAUGUGAAUUAUAAUACAAAAAUUUACUGAUAAAACUAGUAAUCUGUAUCUCUACCACUAGAGUAUAUAAAAGAGAACUUUGUUUGAUUUAAUGUCAUUAAAUGUCUUUUAAUGUGGCUAGUUCUUUACUGGAGGAAUUUUCUUUGUGUCAAUAAUAGCAGCAGUGCAUACUGAAGAAUUUAAAUCAGUAACUUUAUGUUUAAUCUUUUAAAAUACAAUUAUUUUGGGGCGCCUGGGUGGCGCAGUCGGUUAAGUGUCCGACUUCAGCCAGGUCACGAUCUCGCGGUCCGUGAGUUCGAGCCCCGCGUCAGGCUCUGGGCUGAUGGCUCAGAGCCUGGAGCCUGUUUCCGAUUCUGUGUCUCCCUCUCUCUCUGACCCUCCCCCGUUCAUGCUCUGUCUCUCUCUGUCCCAAAAACAAAUAAACGUUGAAAAAAAAAUUAAAAAAAAAUAAAUAAAAUACAAUUAUUUUAAUUUUCAUUCCACUAAGGAACAAAAUCACAUGAAUAUCAAAUAGAACAGUAAUUUCCAACCCUGUCUAAACAAAAAGAAAUUUUUGGAGAUAUUUUCAAAUAAAGAGAUUCCUUGAUGCAGUCACUAUAGAAAAUAGGAUGGGAGUUCCUCAAAAAAUUAAAAAAGAAAACAACAACCAUACGAUCCAGCAAUUCCACUUUUGUGUAUUUAUCCAAAGUAAAUGAAAAUGCUCACUCAUUCACUGCAGCACUAUUCACAAUAGUCAAGUCAUAGAAGCAAACUAAGUGUCCAUUGAUGGAGGAAUGGAUAAAGACACUGGUGUAUAGACACAAUGGAAUAAGUCAGUCCUAGAGAGGUAAGCAUGGUGACUAUAGUCCAUAAUGCCACACUGUAUACUUGAAAGUUGCUGAGAGAGUAGAUCUUUAAAGUUCUCAUCACAAGAAAAAUACAUAAAAUACAUUCUGUACAAAGAUCUCUGUAAUACUAUUGAAAAAAAAUCAUAAUCAUCGACAGAGCCCUCCAAGUAUUUGACUGUGGGUCUUGUUUGAGACUUGUAUUUAUCCUAGCAUUAAUUCUAAGUGGUCAUAUAAUAACUAAACAUUUAUGAUAUUGGUUAUGCCUUUAAUAUGUCACAAUUCUUAUGGAGUCUGACAUGAGACUUUUAAAUUAUAAAUGCUUGAAAUGAAAAAAAAAAGUGCCCAGGCACUGCCCAAAGUCCCAUGUGGGGUAAGUUUCCCGACUGGAGAACCAUUGGUCUAACCUGUGGCUGGUGUGAGCCUGAAUCCCACUCUGUCCUUCCAGAUUUUUAUUCUCAAAUUCUGCCAUUUCCUUGUAAGAGUCAAAUUUAUCCCUUUGAUUCAAAUUUCUCUGUAUUGCCACCUAUCUUCUACCACUUAUUUUUUCUCAGAUCCAGAAAUUGAUUUAUUUUAUUAUAAAAAUUAUUUGACCUCCUGUACUAUUGAUUCCAUUAUUUACAGUCUCCUAAAGUCUGGUUAUUCAUACUUUUAUGUCUUUCUUGAUUUUAUACAGGUUUUCUACCACUCACUUAUACUUUGGCUUUCGUCCAUACAAUGACUCACUCCUGGCACACUUCCAGUCAGAAUUUUGAGCCACAUGAAGCUGUGUUCUUUCAUAGCUGUAUUCUCAGUGACUAACCCCAGGUUUAGGCACAGAGACUGGCAAUACACAAAAGCCAUAGUAACAGCAAAUCUGUGUUCCUCACCCUUUGCCUUUAUUAAACUCUGAAAGAGAAGUUUCUUCUUAAAAUUACAAGCACAAACUUUCAAAAAAGCAAUCUGGGGCGCCUGGGUGGCGCAGUCGGUUAAGCGUCCGACUUCAGCCAGGUCACGAUCUCGCGGUCCAGUGCGUGAGUUCGAGCCCCGCGUCGGGCUCUGGGCUGAUGGCUCAGAGCCUGGAGCCUGCUUCCGAUUCUGUGUCUCCCUCUCUCUCUGCCCCUCCCCCAUUCAUGCUCUGUCUCUCUCUGUCCCAAAAAUAAAUAAACAUUGAAAAAAAAAUUAAAAAAAAAAAUUACUUUAAAAAAAGCAAUCUGGCUUCUCUCAUGUACCAUAUAUUAAAAAUAUCAUCUUAAAGACAAAGUGGCCCUAAUUUUUUUAAUGUUUCUUUAUUUUUGAGAGACAGAAACAGAGCAGGAGCCGGGGAGCAGCAGAGAGAGAGGGGGACACAGAAUCCAAAUCAAGCUCCAGGCUUUGAGCUGUCAGCACAGAGCCUGACAUGGGCUCAAACCCACGGACUGGGAGAUCGUGACCUAAGCCAAAGUCUGAAACUUAAUUGACUGAGCCACCCAGGCACCCACCAAAGUGGCCCUAAUUUCUAAAACCAGUGUCUUUUCUCAAUUAUCUUAGCCACUUGGGUUUACCUUUGCCCUACAAAAACAGUAACCAAAACUUAACUUCUAAAAUAACUCUACUCUCCUCCAAGAUUGUACAACCCCUUUUCUUACCAUUAUCACUUUAUCACUCUCUUUACCUCUUCCCUUCACUUCGUCUUCUCAUCCAUUUCUCCUUCCCUCCACCUGUGUUCACACCAUCUUCUGCUUCUCUCCUGUUUCAUGGAUCUUCACUCCUGAGGUUUCACUUUCUCACUGGGGACUGAUGAUCGGCCGUGGGUCUCUGCUUGCCCAGCUCCCCCCAGCAGCAGAUUCCACAGCCAUACACAGGUUCACAUCAUCACCAGGAGCAAAUGUACAGCUAAUGUCACGCAUCAUGGUUCUAACUGAGAUCUUCAUUUUCACUCUCCAACAAAUCCACUGCCCCUUUCACUGUGGCACACUUAGUUUAUUAGACGUAUGAUCCUUAAAGUGCACCUAGUAGGCUCUUAAUACAUCUUGUUAACAUAGAAGGUGGGGUACAGACACAGGAGUAGAGAGGUAAAACCAUUUCCACUUAACAGAUAGUGACCUAGAGAUUAUUAGAUGUCCUACAUGGUAGAGAAAACUAGAACUAAAAGGUUAUAUGCAAAUUAUUUUGAUGUUGAGGAACUUCUAGUAAUACUACCCAAGACAACCUAAUUUCUUGCCCACUUACCCUAAUUCAGUUGAGUAAACUUUUCAGUGCUGGUAAUUCAGGCAAGAAAAACUUAGAAGAGAAACUUUCUUUUUCUGAAGUACAAGAUGAAUAUUCUUCUUUAUAACUAUUAUAAAUAUUAUAAUAUUCUAUUUAUAACUAAAUAGAGCAGAUAUAUCCCUAGACUAUCUCCACUUUUGCCCAAUUAUCACCGUGACUUUUGUGCUGGCGGAAGGAGGCUGUGCUGCCUCUCACCACCCCAUUCACUGGCCCAAUUAAUGAGGCACAUUCAUGUCCUCCUGUGGAAAAGAACCCAGCAAGGAGACACAGCUGUGCUAUGAAUGAUAACUAAGUAGUUUUCCCCUAAGAGCAAUGGUGUAACACCUGGGGAUACUGAGUCUCUCCUAAGCAAUUUGUAUUGAUAAUUGCUCAGAAACACAAAGCCAAAACAAAAACAAUUCUCCCUGAAGGGAAGUUAUCAAUGUCCAAAGUCAGCUACUUUUCUUAAUUUUAGACUGAGUUUAAAAUCAUCACUAUUAUUUGUAUUAUAUAUGAGGCUAAUAUGAGUGAAAAUAAUUAUAAGAGUUUUGUAUUGUGCUUUGUUGUACACAAUCUGCAAUACGAUAUACUUCAAUAUACAAUAUACAACACAUUUUUGCAUAUUACGUCUUAGUGAUCCUUAAGGCCUUGAGUGGACAUUAUUACUCUUUUUAUGUGGCUGCAAAUUGCAUAUCAUAGAAGUCUUGUGACAAGCCCAGAAUGACGAAUAAUAAACAAAACAGUGUGGUCUGCAUCUUCUGACUCUACAAUUUUUUUUAAUUGAACAUAUCUUCUUAUAAAUGAUCUCAAGUUUUGAAAUAAAUUUAAUUGGCAAAUACAUUUAUAAUUUCAGCAUGGAACAUAAGUUAAUGCCCCCUCAGCCAUCUACCAAAAGAGUAAGAGGAGAAAGAAAUGUAAUGGGUAUAAAAGUAACAUUGAGAGAUGCCUGGGUGGCUUAGUUGGUUAAGCAUCCAAGUUUAGCUCAGGUCAUGAUCUCACAGUUUGUGGGUUCAAGCCCCACAUCAGGCUCUGUGCUGACGGCUCAGAGCCUGGAGCCUGCUUUGGAUUCUGUGCCUCUCUCUUCCCCUCCCUGCUCGUGCUCUGUCUCUCUCAAAAAUAAAUAAAAGUUAAAAAAAUUUUGUAACUAAAUCCCAGCAGUAAUGACUUGAUAGAUGUAAACCUAGAAACAUAGCUUAGAGUUUAGAAAUGUUGCCUCUUGAUGCCUCUUGCACAGUUGGUGGGAAUGCAAACUGGUGCAGCCGCUCUGGGGAAGAGUAUGGAGGUUCCUCAAAAAGUUAAAAAUAGAACUUCCCUAGGAUCCAGCAAUUGCACUACUAGGUAGUCAUAGAAAAGGAUAGAAAAAUGCUGAUUCAUAGGGGCACCUGCACCCCAAUGUUUAUAGCAGCACUAUCAAUAAUCAAAAUAUGGAAAGAGCCCAAAUGUCCAUCGGCUGAUGAAUGGGUAAAAAAAAAAAAUGUGGUAUACACAUAUAUGCACGCGCGCGCACACACACACACACACAAUGGAAUAUUACUCAGUGAUCAAAAAGAGUGAAAUCUUGCCAUUUGCAAUGAUGUGGAUGAAGCUAGAGAGUAUAAUGCUAAGUGAAAUAAGUCAGUCAGAGAAAGACAAAUGCCAUACAAUUUCACUCAUGUGGAAUUUAAGAAACACAACAGAUGAGUAUAUAGGAAGGGAGAAAAGAGAGAGGGAAAUAAACCAAAACAGACUCUUAAUGACAGAUAACAGAGUUGAUGGAGGGUGGGGGAUGGGCUAGAUGGGUGAUGAGUAUUAAGGAGGACACUUGUUGGGAUGAGCACUGGGUGUCAUAGGUAAGUGACGAAUUACUGUAUUCUACUCCUGAAUCCAAUAUUGCACAAUACAUUAACCAAAAUUUAAAUAAAAGUUUGAAAAUAAAAGGAAAAAUAAAUGUUGCGAUUCAUGUUAUAUAAUGUAACCCCUUGUAACUACCACUAGACAUGGGUUACAAAAAAUAUUUUGGCUAGUUUCCCUUGCUGGGAGAUUUAUUUUACAGGAACAUAGAGCAUCAGUCCAGUAAUGAUCUUGGAGAUUGAUCAUCAAUGACAGCAAACAUUUCAAUGUUCUUAUGGUUGAAUAAAAUGUCUUUCCUGUUCCCCUCUCAGAAAGAGACCCAAAACUAAUAAGGAGAACAGAAGCACAAUAAUCUAAAAUAUACUUGAAAACCAGAACCAUUAAAUAAUGGUCCCAGACACGAGAAGGACCAAAGCAAGGGCUUAAGAUAGAGUAUGUCCAUCACUGCUGAGUUCAAAAUGGACUGAAAAAGCCAGCUUCCUCCAAACAAGUGGCCGGCUUGAAGAAAAGACAGCCUGUUGUUUCAACAACAGGAAUGGGGAAUGAAGGCGGGCAAUGUUAAUCGUCCUGGAUCUCUGUGUGGAGUCUCAGAAAAGCAGAAAUAGGAAUCAUGGAGAUAACUUACUUUUGAUUCUACAGAGUAAAUUGCAUAAAAAAAUUAGGAGCCUGACUCUACAACAAGAUAAACAGAGGCUUCCUUUUUUGUUAUAUUUUGAAUUUUUAAAUUCAGCAUAUCAAUUUCUUAAAAAAAAAACUUGCUGAGAUUUUCAUUAUAAAUUAGUAUAAAAAUCAUGGACAUCUUAACAUCGAGUCUUCCAAUAAUGAGUAUGGUAGGUCUUACCUUUUAGCCUUUGUCACUUUCCCUCCCCAUCCUUUGUGGUCGUCAGUGUAGGGGUCUGUGGCUGGUCGAAAGGCAGUCCCCCAAGAACGCUCACUGAGAAUCUGCGAAUGUGAUCUUGGAGAGGGUGUCUUAGUGCGCCAGGGCUGCCAUAAGAAAACACCACACACCGGAUGGUUUAGACAACAGAAAUGCAUUUUGUAAUGCAUUUCUCUCACGGCUCUGGAGGCUGGGGGUCCAAGACCAGGGUGCUGGGGGGUGGGGGGUCAGUUUCUGAUAGGAGUUCUCUUCCUCGCUUGCAGAGGGCCUCCUUCUCCCAGGGAGAGAGCUAACGCUCUGGUGUUUCCUAUAAAGACAAGAAUCCUAUAGAAUCGGGGCCCCACCCUUAUGACCUCAUUUAACCUUGAUUACCUCUGUAAAGGCUCUGUCUUCAAAUACACUGGGGAUUAGGGUUUCAGCAUCUGACUUUGAGAGUGGAAAUGAUCACAAACAUUCAUUCCAUAACUAAAGGGUUUUGCAGGUGUAAUUAUGCCAAGGGUCUAGAAAUAAAAUCAUCGUGGAAUAUCUGGGUGGGUCCUAAAUCUGAUGACAAGUGUCCUCAUAAGAGAAAGGCACAGGGAGAUUUGAGACCUGGAAGAGAAGGCCACGUGGAAAGGCAGGUGGAGAGACUUCUCUGUCGCAGCUGGGUCUGCCUGGGACAAUGUGAGGGUCGUAGGGGAAGGAAGUGUUCUCCCCCUGCCUCAGAAGGAACAUGGCCUAUCAACACCUCAGUUUUGGACUUCUGGCCUCCCAAACUGUAAGAGAAUACAUUUCUGUUGGUUCAAGCCAGUAGAUUUGUGGUAAUUGUUUGGCAACCACAGAAACUCACAUGGGGCCAUGCACAACUUUCAUUAGAUAUUUUUUGAGGAAUUGAUCUUCUAGAUGGUAUUUAAGAAAGUUUCAUUUUCAGUGGUUCAUUACGAACAUAUAGAAAUACAGCUAACUUACAUUAACUUGCAUCCUGUGACUUUACUAGUUUCAUUUUAAGUAAGAAUUGUACUUUUUCCUUUCCAAUCUUCAUGGUUUAUUUUUCUUUCCUUCUUACAAAAUGCUAGGUGUAGGCUUUUCAUGAAUGCCAUGUAUCAGAUAGAA